Molecule: ribosomal RNA, 372 nt
Filed under: Atelopus bomolochos (Azuay stubfoot toad)
Lineage: Eukaryota; Metazoa; Chordata; Amphibia; Anura; Bufonidae
Description: partial 12S ribosomal RNA
Rfam family: Bacterial small subunit ribosomal RNA
Source: RNAcentral
UUGCCAGGGAACUACGAGCUAAGCUUAAAACCCAAAGGACUUGACGGUACCCCAUAUCCCCCUAGAGGAGCCUGUCCUAUAAUCGAUAAUCCACGAUUGACCUCACCAUUUUCUAGUUUAUCAGCUUGUAUACCUCCGUCGUCAGCUUACCACGUGAGCGCUUAACUUAGUGAGCUUAAUGUUGUUUCACCCACACGUCAGGUCAAGGUGCAGUAUAUGUAAUGGAAAGAGAUGGGCUACACUUUCUACCCUAGAACACACGAAAAACUAAAUAUGAAAUCUAGUUAGAAGGCGGAUUUAGUAGUAAAAAGGAAUUAGAACGUCCAUUUUAACUCGGCACUGGGGUGUGUACACACCGCCCGGUCACCCUCA